UACGAAGGGUGCAAACGUUGCUCGGAGUUAUUGGGCGUAAAGCGCACGUAGGCGGCUUGGCAAGUCGGAUGUGAAAGCCCUCGGCUCAACCAAGGAAGUGCAUCCGAAACUGCUGAGCUUGAGUACUUAAGAGGAUCGCGGAAUUCCCGGUGUAGAGGUGAAAUUCGUAGAUAUCGGGAGGAACACCAGUGGCGAAGGCGGCGAUCUGGGAAGAUACUGACGCUGAGGUGCGAAAGCGUGGGGAGCAAACAGG
This 253-nucleotide ribosomal RNA is filed under the name uncultured bacterium. Its description in RNAcentral is "partial 16S ribosomal RNA". It matches the Rfam family "Bacterial small subunit ribosomal RNA", at positions 524 to 776 of the family's 1533-position model. The record is from RNAcentral.